CCCUUAGAUGUCCGGGGCUGCACGCGCGCUACACUGUAGAAAGCAGCGUGCUUUAAAACCUUUCCUGAAAAGGAUGGGUAACCCCAGCAAAAUUCUACGUGCUUGGGAUAGAGAUGUGCAAUUUUCUCUCUUGAACGAGGAAUUCCCAGUAAGUGCGAGUCAUCAGCUCGCGUUGAUUACGUCCCUGCCCUUUGUACACACCGCCCGUCGCUACUACCGAUUGGGAAAAUUUUAGAGAGUCCUGGACUGAUGAUUGUUCGGCUUCACGGCCUUACUUUCGUCGGGAAAGAAUUCGAUAAUAUUUUUCUAGAGGAAGUAAAAGUCGUAACA
Molecule: ribosomal RNA, 330 nt
Filed under: uncultured eukaryote
Lineage: Eukaryota
Description: partial 18S ribosomal RNA
Rfam family: Eukaryotic small subunit ribosomal RNA
Source: RNAcentral